GCUGCAACAAAUUUUUUUCCCUUGCCACAGUGCCACUCGCCCGCCUAUCCAAAAAGCUCGGUCUCCUUCCCUACUCCGUUCACUCCCCAAAUCCCAGACUCUCACCGCUUCCCUCGUCUCCUCAGUCCUCCCCCGCCAUGGUCACGGACAAGUCCAACCUCCCACAGCAGCAGCAGCCGCCUCCUCCCUCCGCCUCCUCAGCACCCUCCUCGCUCAAGUCCCUCAACAAGGCCUCCUACAAGAUCUCCAAGCAGUCGUCUUCCGCCUCUCCCGCUCCCGUUCCCGCCUCCACCAUGCGAGCGCCUUCCCCGCCGCCGCCGGCUCCCCGCCCGCCUCCUCCUCUCCCGCCGCCGCCGCCGCCGCCGCCGCAGGCCUCCUCCAUCCCUGCCGACCACCCGCCUCCCCAGCCCCCCGUGUACAACAUCGACAAGUCCGACUUCCGCGACGUCGUGCAGAAGCUCACAGGCUCGCCGUCCCACCUCCUGCCGCCGCAGCCAGCGCCCACUCCCGCCACCGCCCGCGCCCGCGCCCCCCUCAUGGCGCCACCGCCUCCCAUCAUGGCGCCGCCGCCUCCGCCGCCGACGGCGAUACCCUCCCGCCUCCACCGCAUCCGGCCGCCGCCGCUGGCCCCGCCGCCCAUCCUGCCCCCGGCCCCGCCGGCGCUCUCCCCGCUCCCGCCGCUCCCGGCGGUGUGCAUGACCGCGGAGUCGCCCAUCUCCGCCUACAUGCGCCGCCUCCGCGGGAUGCCCUCGCCGAUCCGCGCGCCCACGUCGCCGCUCGGCUUCGGCUGCCUGCCGUCGCCCGGCGUGCCCAUGCCAGCUACCAGCCCCCGCGUCCGCGACCCGUGACGUGCGUGAUGCAGGAACCCCCACCACCACCGUUGCGCCGCCGCCGAUGUGUACAUACGGCCGGCUGGUGUAGGAGAGAUCUGGCGAGGCGGCGGGCGGCGACCGCAGAAGGAAGCAGGCAGCAACACCUUCACAUUCUCUGUCGACGUUGGAGCAAUGGCGUUUCUCUGGUCAAUUGGGUGGUAGUAGUGCCGACGUGAGGUGCUCCACUAAAGAGAAUUUUAUUACUGUGAACCAAGUUGGUCGAAAAAGCAGGAGCUGGGAAGCGUAGGUGUCCAUUUCUGCCAAAGAUCGGUGGCAUGAUAGGGGUAACAGUUGCUGCGAAGUCCAAUUCGGAAAGCGAUGCGCUGAGAAGACGCCGGUGCCUGUUCUCUUCCUGCGAGCUGCGCUUUCUAGGGUCGAAACAUUGGUUUCCUGGUGUAAUUUUAUCGUCUGAAUGUACUGUAGUGUAGUAGUAGCAUUUCACUCUCAACAUGUUUUUUUUCCUUCUUCCAGCUGCUCUUGUUGUUCGUGCCAACA
RNAcentral lists this unclassified non-coding RNA (1367 nucleotides) under Zea mays. RNAcentral describes it as "misc RNA Zm00001eb401410". Lineage: Eukaryota; Viridiplantae; Streptophyta; Magnoliopsida; Poales; Poaceae. The record is from RNAcentral.